This 128-nucleotide ribosomal RNA is filed under the name uncultured eukaryote. RNAcentral describes it as "partial small subunit ribosomal RNA". It matches the Rfam family "Eukaryotic small subunit ribosomal RNA", at positions 1651 to 1779 of the family's 1831-position model. The record is from RNAcentral.
CCCUGCCAUUUGUACACACCGCCCGUCGCUUCUACUGAUGAAUGAUCCGGUGAACACUUUGGACCUGUGUCUGUCCGGGGCAACUCGCCAGACUGCGGGGAAGUUGUGUAAACCUUAUCAUUUAGAGG